This 73-nucleotide small RNA is filed under the name Bizionia argentinensis JUB59. RNAcentral's name for it is "Flavo-1 RNA". It matches the Rfam family "Flavo-1 RNA". The record is from Rfam by way of RNAcentral. Lineage: Bacteria; Pseudomonadati; Bacteroidota; Flavobacteriia; Flavobacteriales; Flavobacteriaceae.
AAAUAGCCCCGAUAGUAGUGCUUUCCUUUUUGCUUUUUUAGCAAUCAGGUAAAAACGAAUAGCGGGAAAUAGC